Molecule: unclassified non-coding RNA, 540 nt
Filed under: Hevea brasiliensis (rubber tree)
Lineage: Eukaryota; Viridiplantae; Streptophyta; Magnoliopsida; Malpighiales; Euphorbiaceae
Source: RNAcentral
CUUUUUCAAACCGAACUGAACCGAUCAAUGUUCACCCCUAUUUCUUGUUAUAAAUUCAUCCCUUUUCCGUUCAGCACCUUUGGUCUGUGUCCUUACUACAGGAAAGCUUCUCAAGGAUGUCUCUUUGAAGUCCAGAGAGAGUGCAAUGGACUGAUCAAAGGCAAUGACAUAGAUCCUUUCUUGCUCAUUUCCUUGAUUAGUCAUUUUUCUAAUUUUGUCUAGCUUAUUUUCACAGAAUUUUUUAGCGAAUCUUCUUAUUUCAGUUACAAGUUUAUUUGUUGGUUUGGGGUCAGCACUGGAGAAAGAAAAAAAAAAUUAAUAUUGAGGAUAUUCAUGUAGAAUCUCAAUGCUUUACAAUCAAUUGUAGUCCUUUUGGCAAUAACUUUUUAGGUUGAUAGUUUUAUUUCAUAGAUUUCUUUUUAUUUCAUAGAUUUCUUUUUCAGUGUCUGUAUAUGAAGAUAUUUUGUUGAUACGUUUGGGACUAAUGGUUUUCACUAUGUAUUAAAUAUUUGACAAGGUUCUUCUGGGAUCAAUGGGUGC